GGAGGGACAGAGAAGAAGAAAAUAUCACGGUCAUGUUGGCUAGAAUCCUGCCCAGAAGGAGACUGCAGCAACUCUCCACCCCCAGGUACAUUACAUACCAGCUAUGGUUACUGCCUGUCAUAAAGGGAUGCAAAACACUGAGCAGAGACAGCAAAACAAAGCUCACAUUGUAUGCACAAGGACAUAGAAAUAUAAAUAUAGAAAAUCAAAUGCUGUCACUGUUGAAAGAAGAUAUUAACUCAUGGGUGCUGACACUCCGUAGCGGCUGAACACGAAGACGGCACUCCACUGGGGUGACCUUUGACUCUUGGCAGAGAGCGAUUUCACUGAGGGAAUUCACUCUGGUGGAUGAGUCUCUAGUGUUUGUCAAGAUCUUUGUGGAAACAAACACUCAGAGGAUCUUUGUGGAACAGUCCAGAAAUAAUUGAGUAAGCCAAGAGACCCCUAUCUCCCCUCUGCAAAAAAUGUCAGGUUAAACUUUCUUUUGAGGACUCCCUAAUUGAUGCUCUUGUAUAAAUAAUUGCUAUUUCCCAGCACUUUCUCUUUUCCCUUUUACUGAGAAAAAUACAAAAGAAAAGUCAACCGAAUCAAGACAGAAAUUCAUUUUUACAGCUGAAUAAGCUUCAUCUUUGGUUGUUUUAAAAAUGAAAUAAUGGGAAAAUAUUUGUUAGAGAAUAAUAAACACACCCAGGUAUUUGCUGCUCUUCUUAGGCUGGGCUGAGUGAAGUGGCUCGGUAAGACCACCUGUGUUUCUUGGUGCGCGCCCAGCAGAGCUUCAGAAUUUGUAUAGUUGGUUUCACUCCAGCAACCUGGCUACAUUCUUGGAUCUCUUACUCAACAUGAGGCAUCAAGAUCAUUGGAAACUUUAACAAAAACAUCAACAACUGGAAGAGCCAGUUAGCCUAUGGUUUGACCCCAGCCUGCAUACCCUUACAUCAAUCUACUUCUAAUCUUUUGGGAAAUUAGUUCAGCCUUCAAGGCAGGAGAAGGAGCAACCUGAGGGUACAGCUGCUCAGUCUCCCUAGGAGACAAAGAAUCUACAAUCACCCCAAAGCACACAUUUAGAUGCUUGCUUUUUAAUCUGCUUUCCAUUUGGCUGAAUGGACGCCUCCAUAAUAACUCUAAAAGCAUCAAAGAAAAAGUAUACUCUGUAGUAUUCCAUGAUGGAAUCCAAUAAAAGAAACAUAACUCAAAAUCAUUUCAGAAGCAAUAAUAAAUUGCUACUCAGAAGCAGCUCCUCAAGGAAGCUUGCUCUUCAGCCCAAUAAUCUAAAACACAUCAUCAAAACAGUAGCUGAGGAGGAAGGAAAAAGAUAACAAAUCUUAUUUUCCACUUGUCCUUUUGGUAUACUUCAAAAUAAUUUGGAUGCUUUCUGAAACAGCUAUUUUGGAUGUUUUUAUUCAUGUCCCAAAGGGCUACUUAGUCUAACUACCUUUAUCUAAAGAAGAUGGUAAAAU
Equus asinus (donkey) is the source of this 1457-nucleotide long non-coding RNA. The record is from Ensembl. Lineage: Eukaryota; Metazoa; Chordata; Mammalia; Perissodactyla; Equidae.